CGGGCACCGGGAGAGCAGCGCGCCGCGGCCCCUCGCCUCCCUCAGAGCGCUCCGCACCGCCGUCCCCACCGACCUUCAACGGGGCCGGGGCCAGGCUCCGACCGCCAGCAGUCGCUGGGCAAGAGGGACGGAGGGAGGGGUCGUGGGUGUCGGGAGCCGGGGGAGCCAGAGGGGACAGUAAGGGGGUUACCUCUCGCCCGGCUCGGCCUCUUCCCCCGCCUGUCGAACGGAGGAGCUCGUUGUCCAGCUGCAAGAAGACGGCCCGACCCGGCUCCUCCGUGCAGUCCCGGGUAGAGAGCCCGGUCCCUGCGCUAGUCGAUUUGUGCAGUAGGAAAGGAGGCUGCAGGGGAUCUGCGCCGGGGCAGGACAGAUGCCUUUCGGGACCCAGUGUUUGCAUCUUGGGAGAUGUGGGUGCUGAUCUGGUUGUUUCUUGGUUUAUGACGCCAAAAAGGGCGGGAGGGGGCUGAUGAAGUGAAGCCUUUCGCUAAUACAUUCCGUUAACAGA
This 505-nucleotide long non-coding RNA is filed under the name Homo sapiens (human). Its description in RNAcentral is "long non-coding RNA NONHSAT209285.1". Lineage: Eukaryota; Metazoa; Chordata; Mammalia; Primates; Hominidae. The record is from RNAcentral.